UAGGAAUCUGCCUGGUAGUGGGGGACAACGUUUCGAAAGGAACGCUAAUACCGCAUACGUCCUACGGGAGAAAGUGGGGGAUCUUCGGACCUCACGCUAUCAGAUGAGCCUAGGUCGGAUUAGCUAGUUGGUGAGGUAAAGGCUCACCAAGGCGACGAUCCGUAACUGGUCUGAGAGGAUGAUCAGUCACACUGGAACUGAGACACGGUCCAGACUCCUACGGGAGGCAGCAGUGGGGAAUAUUGGACAAUGGGCGAAAGCCUGAUCCAGCCAUGCCGCGUGUGUGAAGAAGGUCUUCGGAUUGUAAAGCACUUUAAGUUGGGAGGAAGGGCAGUAAGUUAAUACCUUGCUGUUUUGACGUUACCAACAGAAUAAGCACCGGCUAACUUCGUGCCAGCAGCCGCGGUAAUACGAAGGGUGCAAGCGUUAAUCGGAAUUACUGGGCGUAAAGCGCGCGUAGGUGGUUCGUUAAGUUGGAUGUGAAAGCCCCGGGCUCAACCUGGGAACUGCAUCCAAAACUGGCGAGCUAGAGUAUGGCAGAGGGUGGUGGAAUUUCCUGU
Molecule: ribosomal RNA, 560 nt
Filed under: Pseudomonas sp. JZ08ML7
Lineage: Bacteria; Pseudomonadati; Pseudomonadota; Gammaproteobacteria; Pseudomonadales; Pseudomonadaceae
Description: bacterial SSU rRNA
Rfam family: Bacterial small subunit ribosomal RNA
Source: RNAcentral